GGAGGUUUAAAUCUAACCCAUGGGUUAAAUCCGGUUUAGACCACGGGUUAACCCAUUUGUUAUCAUUUUGCAAUUUAGAAAGGCGGUUUAGAUUAGAAUCGUCUUGCGGGAGAUAAUUACAAUGGUUACCAUGGCUGCUUAUUACAAGCUCUUACAAGUCUCAGUGUUUUUGCUGAUUUGGACGCCAUGGCCGCGAUUAGUUGCAGAUGCCUGGUCACUCACGAUAUCAGCGCCCGACAAUUUAUCCGCGAAAGAAGGAGAAACAGUAACACUAGUGUGCACAUAUCAGCCAGAGACAGAUGAGAUAACCUUUGCCUCACUCUCUUGGCAAAUGGGAGAUACUGUGUUAGCGUCCGUCAAUUGCCCCAGCGC
This is a long non-coding RNA of Strongylocentrotus purpuratus (purple sea urchin), 372 nucleotides long. RefSeq lists it as uncharacterized. NCBI's taxonomy places the organism in Eukaryota, Metazoa, Echinodermata, Echinoidea, Camarodonta, Strongylocentrotidae. The transcript is spliced from 2 exons. The record is from RefSeq and is a predicted model, not a curated record.